GAUGAACGCUGGCGGCGUGCCUAAUACAUGCAAGUAGAACGCUGAAGGAGGAGCUUGCUCUUCUGGAUGAGUUGCGAACGGGUGAGUAACGCGUAGGUAACCUGCCUGGUAGCGGGGGAUAACUAUUGGAAACGAUAGCUAAUACCGCAUGACAACAGUUAUUGCAUGAUAACUGUUUAAAAGGGGCAACUGCUCCACUACCAGAUGGACCUGCGUUGUAUUAGCUAGUUGGUGAGGUAACGGCUCACCAAGGCGACGAUACAUAGCCGACCUGAGAGGGUGAUCGGCCACACUGGGAGUGAGACACGGCCCAGACUGCUACGGGAGGCAGCAGUAGGGAAACUUCGGCAAUGGACGGAAGUCUGAGCGAGCAACGCCGAGGGAGUGAAGAAGGGUGUCGGGUCGUAAAGCUCGGUUGUAAGAGAAGAACGAGUGUGAGAGUGGAAAGUUCACACUGUGACGGUAUCUUACCAGAAAGGGACGGCUAACUACGUG
This 495-nucleotide ribosomal RNA is filed under the name uncultured bacterium. RNAcentral describes it as "partial 16S ribosomal RNA". It matches the Rfam family "Bacterial small subunit ribosomal RNA", at positions 28 to 507 of the family's 1533-position model. The record is from RNAcentral.